Molecule: non-coding RNA, 24 nt
Filed under: Arabidopsis thaliana (thale cress)
Lineage: Eukaryota; Viridiplantae; Streptophyta; Magnoliopsida; Brassicales; Brassicaceae
Source: RNAcentral
AUCGGCGAUAUCUGGUUCACCAGA